GAUGAACGCUGGCGGCGUGCUUAACACAUGCAAGUCGAACGGAGUUCCUUGGAUAGAGGUUUCGGCCAAUUGAAUUGGAACUUAGUGGCGGACUGGUGAGUAACGCGUGAGGAACCUGCCUUUCAGAGGGGGGACAACAGUUGGAAACGACUGCUAAUACCGCAUGACACAUUCGGAUCGCAUGGUAGAAGUAUCAAAGCUACGGCGGUACAGGAUGGACCCGCGUCUGAUUAGCUAGUUGGUGGGGUAACGGCUCACCAAGGCGACGAUCAGUAGCCGGUCUGAGAGGAUGAACGGCCACAUUGGGACUGAGAUACGGCCCAGACUCCUACGGGAGGCAGCAGUGGGGAAUAUUGGGCAAUGGGGGAAACCCUGACCCAGCAACGCCGCGUGAAGGAAGAAGGCUUUCGGGUUGUAAACUUCUUUUAGCAGGGACGAAGGACGUGACGGUACCUGCAGAAAAAGCAACGGCUAACUACCGUGCC
This 485-nucleotide ribosomal RNA is filed under the name uncultured bacterium. RNAcentral's name for it is "bacterial SSU rRNA". It matches the Rfam family "Bacterial small subunit ribosomal RNA", at positions 28 to 509 of the family's 1533-position model. The record is from RNAcentral.